UUCAACCAUCACGGCACUAU
Molecule: microRNA, 20 nt
Filed under: Ciona intestinalis (vase tunicate)
Lineage: Eukaryota; Metazoa; Chordata; Ascidiacea; Phlebobranchia; Cionidae
Description: cin-miR-4051-5p
Source: miRBase by way of RNAcentral